This 440-nucleotide ribosomal RNA is filed under the name uncultured bacterium. RNAcentral describes it as "partial 16S ribosomal RNA". It matches the Rfam family "Bacterial small subunit ribosomal RNA", at positions 338 to 795 of the family's 1533-position model. The record is from RNAcentral.
CCUACGGGUGGCAGCAGUGGGGAAUAUUGGGCAAUGGGCGCAAGCCUGACCCAGCAACGCCGCGUGAAGGAAGAAGGCUUUCGGGUUGUAAAGCUCUAUCAGCAGGGAAGAAAAUGACGGUACCUGACUAAGAAGCCCCGGCUAACUACGUGCCAGCAGCCGCGGUAAUACGUAGGGGGCAAGCGUUAUCCGGAUUUACUGGGUGUAAAGGGAGCGUAGACGGCAGCGCAAGUCUGGAGUGAAAUCCCAUGGCUUAACCAUGGAACUGCUUUGGAAACUGUGCAGCUGGAGUGCAGGAGAGGUAAGCGGAAUUCCUAGUGUAGCGGUGAAAUGCGUAGAUAUUAGGAGGAACACCAGUGGCGAAGGCGGCUUACUGGACUGUAACUGACGUUGAGGCUCGAAAGCGUGGGGAGCAAACAGGAUUAGAUACCCGGGUAGUC